GAGGGUAUAGCUCAGUGGUAGAGUACAUGCUUAGUAUGGCUGGGGUCCUGGGUUCAAUCCCCAGUGCUUCCA
RNAcentral lists this transfer RNA (72 nucleotides) under Camelus bactrianus (Bactrian camel). It matches the Rfam family "tRNA". Rfam says of the family: Transfer RNA (tRNA) molecules are approximately 80 nucleotides in length. Lineage: Eukaryota; Metazoa; Chordata; Mammalia; Artiodactyla; Camelidae. RNAcentral also lists the same sequence under 2 other names. The record is from Rfam by way of RNAcentral.